RNAcentral lists this ribosomal RNA (720 nucleotides) under uncultured bacterium. Its description in RNAcentral is "bacterial SSU rRNA". It matches the Rfam family "Bacterial small subunit ribosomal RNA", at positions 8 to 691 of the family's 1533-position model. The record is from RNAcentral.
AGAGUUUGAUCAUGGCUCAGGACGAACGCUGGCGGCGUGCUUAACACAUGCAAGUCGAACGGUCUUUGCAGACGGAGUCCUUCGGGACAAAGACUGUAUAAGAUAGUGGCGGACGGGUGAGUAACGCGUGGGUAAUCUGCCUCUGAAACGGGGAUAACUUACCGAAAGGUGAGCUAAUACCGGAUGAGCUCUUUUAAGUCGCAUGGCUUAAAGAGGAAAGAUGACGUAAGUUGUCGAUCAGAGAUGAACCCGCGUCCCAUUAGCUAGUUGGUGAGGUAACGGCUCACCAAGGCGACGAUGGGUAGCCGGCCUGAGAGGGUGAACGGCCACACUGGGACUGAGACACGGCCCAGACUCCUACGGGAGGCAGCAGUGGGGAAUAUUCGGCAAUGGGGGCAACCCUGACCGAGCAACGCCGCGUGGGUGAAGAAGUUUUUCGGAACGUAAAGCCCUGUCAUGAGGGAAGAAUGUCUCGAAGUUUAAGAGAUGUCGGGAGUGACGGUACCUCAUAAGAAAGCUCCGGCUAACUACGUGCCAGCAGCCGCGGUAGUACGGAGGGAGCGAGCGUUGUUCGGAAUUACUGGGCGUAAAGGGCGCGUAGGCGGUCGGGUAAGUCGGGUGUGAAAUUCCGGGGCUCAACCCCGAGAACUGCAUUCGAUACUGCUCGACUUGAGAGAGGUAGGGGCGAGUGGUAAUUCCCGGUGUAGCGGUGGAAUGCGU